UCGAAAAUACGCAUCGAAGAGAUCCACUUUCGUCAAUUGGUUCUACACCGACGCAAUCGCCACCGUCGGAUUGCGAUUCGCGGAAAAUUAGACCAUGGAAUCAAUCGAGACCUCCGCGCGCUCAGGCUGCCGUACGCGUGAGUAGAGCCGGGAAUAAUCAGAAAACCACGAAUUCGAAGGACCAAGGUUUCGAUGCCUUAGAGAACGACGACGGGGAUUUGGUAGUCCUUCCUUCUUCUCCGCUGAGGAGGAAAAUCAGAAGAUGACGGAGACACUGACAGAUGGUCGUUAUACAUUUCGUAGGGAUAUUAAGGAUUCUCACAUACCGUUCAUCGCGUAUCGUGCGGUCAGAAAUCAUUUGAUUUUAUUAUUUAAAUUUAAACACAAAUAAUAUCUGACGAAAAUGUUUUUCACAUGUUUGUUUCCCUUUGCUGCACAGUUAAAUGAAGGGUUUGCCCAGCUUGCCCACGCGUCCAUCAUGGCUGGUCCUUCUUCUCCGAUUUCUUCUUGGCUUUUUCUUUCCGUUCGCUUCUCUCUCUCCAUUCCCACCUUCUGCUUAUUUUCAAACCUACUUAAAACUAAAGUUUUACAUUUAGAAUAAUAAGAAACAAUUUACAUAACAUAUAAUUGGUCUAAUACACAUAUUAUUCAAAUACCCAAUCAGUUUAUCAUUGGUCUUACUCUAUUAUACACAUUAGUCUAUCUGAUUACAAAACUAAUUGUAUAAACUACCAAGUGAAGUUGCAUUCCAUAACAUAUAUACCCAACAGACCCAACAAUGCUCGGGUUUUCCAUAACUUUUAUACACGUUAAUUUAGUUUCAUAUUUAAUGUUUCAGAAUCAUUUUGAUACCCAUAAACACACUGUAUGAGUUAUCAAAGCUACUUCAAAUCACAAAGAAAGAACUAUGCACAAGUGGGAGAGUACCAGUGCACCUUAAAUGCUUCCUUGAUAGCCAACUUAGAUUUUUGCAGAGGUGAAACAAAGUCUAUGUGCUCGAGUAUUUUCGUCUUAUGGGUUUCAGGGUGAUGGUCCUCUCAUGCUGCAUAUAUUGGGUUGAAUCUCUUGGAGGGAAACUCAAAUUUUAGGUACUAAACUUCCCGAACUUGCUCCAACCUAUGGGGCAAAUAUGAGUUUUAACCCAAAACUCAUUUGUGGGGCAAAUUUAGCUCAGGAUUCCCCUUGGGUUAGGAGAAAAUUUUCAUUGUGACCAGAACACGAGUAAUACUUUUAUAUAAGUGGUGGGAAAUUGUAUUUUUUAAGUUCUUAACUUUUUAACACACAUAUCUCACCAUUUGUAUAGUGACACGUGGUGUACCACCUUGUGUACUGAUCACAUUGAAAAAUCUAUCCUGGGUUAGUGGGGCUAGCCCACCAUAUAUGUGUGUUUUUUUUAGUUUUAUAUUUAUAAAUUUAUUGAAUCCAACGACUAAGAUCUAAUAUGAUUAAAUCCAACGGUAAAAGAAAAUAUCUAAUGAUCCAAAUUUAAAUCCAAGAGCUAAAGUAAUAAAAAAAAAUUAUUUUAGGUGUUUCAUAUUCUUUCAUAGUAUUCCACAAGUUUCAUGGGAUCGGUUUUGGUGAUUUUUCAAUUUAGCGGAAUCUAAAUAUUUUUAAGUUAGCAUGUUCAUAAAAUUUAAUUAGGAUAGUCUACAUAAUUUUUUUUUAUUUUUUAAAAAUUACUUUAAGAAAAAAAAAUCAUCAUAAAUUCAUUCUUUAAUAAUGUCGGGCUAAAAAUUUAACCCAUAAAGGUUGGAGGAGAAAAACUAUGGCUAAAACCUAAAUUUUUUUUACUUAAAAUUUUAGGUUUUAACCUAAGGAUUCGAGAUAGUCUAAGGUGGGGAUAACAAAAGGCCAUUCAACAAAAAGGCAGAAGAAAAAAUCCUAAUCUUCAACCGCAAAGCUAACCGAUGUCACCUCUAUCACCACGCCAACAACCACAAGGGUAGCCACCCGAAAAAAAUUAAUUCCGCCUUGUAUUCAAUGAAAGUAUCCUAGUGCAAAAAAAUUCAACGUAAAACAAAAAUCGCCACACCAAAGAAGAGCCAACAGAUCCGGACCACAAACACAAGCCCCUACAAGUUGAACAACAAGCCUAAACAAAUGGUAAGGGAUGGGGCCCGGCUAAAGGGGUAUCUAAACACCGUCGCUUUGAUAAAAGCCGCAACAAACUUGGGCCCUGAUUUCAUGCAUGAAUAUUAAAUCCCUAGUAUAUUACCUUUCUUGCUAAUUCCAAGAGUGUUUCUGGAAUCCUACUAAUACUCUAUGCAUGGAUGUCAUUGAAUGCAUCUGGACAUUCUGUUAAGUUCCAUUGAGUGAGUCUGCAUCCCUAGAUUAUGUUCGGUUCCAUUGAGUUCGUAUGGAUUCUAGAAUCCAACCUCGUAUCUUGUGUGUCAAUUCUAUUCUAUUUCAUGAGUGCAUCUGGAAUGUGUAACAUUGUAAUAUGUUAGCUGAGCUCUUGUGUAUUAUUUAUAUUUGAUUCCAUGAGUGCAAUUGCAACGUGUAACGUUGUGAGCCAAGCCUAUUGUUGUUCUUAUCUCCUAAUUUUUUACUUAAUCCCCCACCCCAAUUAAUUUCUCCCCAGUUUGGACCACAGCCAGCCUCAAACCAACUCCACCGCCUUUUCGGGGUCAAAAGUAGCCUUUGCCUCUAGUCAUCAUCUAGACUAUAGAUGGAGGGCCCCACAAGUUAACUAAAUACAAAUUGAUGAUCACAUCAAUAAAUAGUUGGGUACUAUUAUUUUUGUCAUGAAAGACAUAAUUAAUAUUAUUAUAUACUCCUUAGUGCUUAGUCCACAUCAAUUAAUUUGUCAAAAUGUUGUUCGGCCUUAACAAUUAUUUAUCUGUAGGUGAUUAAGUGCUUAAUUUUAUGACCGACUUUCAAAUACUAACUUAUUGUAGCCAACAAUUGAUAGAACGACUCACUCAAAUUUAUGACAGAGUUUCAAAAAGUAAUUUAUUGUAACCAACUGAUUUAGUGACUCGUUCAAACUUAUGAUGCAUGGGUAUAGACUAACACUCUUCUUCAAACACUGUGUGAAUGAUACACACAUUUUAAUGCUUAUUAUUGGGAUCAUACAUGUUAUAAAUCCCUUUGUAAAUAUUAUUUUUGAAAAAAAAAUCAACCAUGAGCUAUGAAAUCCGUUGCUGGCUACUGGCCCAUUUUCGUGAUUAUUGAAUGUUUUGAGAUACUAAAGCCGUCUGUAUCGCUCCUGAGAGAAAAACAAAAGCCAUGUGUUGCGUGCUGGCACCUCGUCACUGGUGUUGGUGAUUCUUUAUUGUAAGUUUGGAGCAUGAAGCUGCUAAAUAAUUUCUCCAUACAAAUUGAUUAAUAUGAUGUCCAUCAAUGUUUCAUCAAUCCAUCGUGUAACGCACCAGCAAAUACGUCGCCCAAAAGCUACAGUAAUGCUUGUUGAGAUCAAAUUACAUUGGAGCGCAUUUACGUAAAGGGAGUGGAACAAGAGGAAUGGGAAUUGCACUCCUUCCGAGUUAUUCAAGUGUUUACCAACAUACUAGGAAUUAGUCUCCCGAACAAUAGGUGCGAUUUGAAUUUCGGGACAAAACCUCUGUUUGGAAUCCCUUUUUUCUACCUAAAAUACCCGUAUCUCGUCUCCCUUCCACCUCUUUUGUCUAUGUGGGCAGUGACCAAUAUCAAAUGAGAAGAAAACAUCAGAAGAGGGAAGAAGCAAAUGGAGAAAAGAGAUGGGGAAGCAAAGAAUUGGGGAAUGGGGUGCGGUGCGGUCUUCACGAGAAAAAAAAUAAUAAUUGGCGGAUAGGGAAGAAGAAUCAUAAGAGAACGAGAAGAAGAAUCAAAAGGAAGCAAGUGUUAAAAAAAACGAAAAUUAUGACAAAUUUUUCUGUUGUAAUUUUCAAUUGGCGGAUGAGGACUUAAAUGAUUAAAAUAAGGAAAUGUAUGCUAAAAUGUACCUAUAACGGUGUUAACAAUUGGCGGAUGAGGACUUAAAUGAUUAAAAUAGGGAAAUGCAUGCUAAAAUGUAACUAUAACAGUGUUUAAUUGUCAGAAAACGAAAAUUAUGACAAAUUUUUCUUUUGUAAUUUUCAAGUUGUUAAAAAAAAAACAUGUAGACGGGUGAAAAAAUGGGUAAAUGGGUAAAAAAAUGAUAAACAGGUUCAAACACGGGUAAAUGGUUAUGGUUAAAUAGGUAAAUGGGCACACGGUUAUGGGUAUGGAUAACCGUUUAUAAACGGUUACGGUUAUGAGUAUAACUGUUUAUGCAAUUACCCAACGGGUAAAUAGUUAUGCGUGUAUGAAUAUAAACGGUUAUGGAUAAAUAACCGCAAUUACCCGCCCACAAGAACCGUUGCCCAUCCCUACUUGUGAGUAGUCAGCUAGCUUUACUUAUGAAUUGAUGAUGAUCUUCCCUUAAUUUUUCUUUCUUCAUGUAUGAACGCGUCGAAUUUUUGUACGCGGAAGGUAAAGGUGCUUGAGUUGGGAUUUUUUUAUAUUUCUUCUCUUUGAUGAUUUUCUAGGAAAGCCUGAGCACCAUAAAAUUUUCAUUAACUUAAUAAAUCUCAUUCAUCUCAAAUAUCCCCUUCUCUUUCUUUGAUAUAUUAUCGAGCGCUCGCUUCUGUCUUCUUUUUUAUUCACAAGUUACAAGUCUGUUGUUAGUUCCUUCAGAGAAACACAGAAACAGAUGGAGUGUAUCAUGGCUAUCGUGCAGAUUUGCUGCAGAUGGUUAACAUUUUCUUCUCCGUCAUCUGCUGCUGCUGGAGAUGAUGAUGAUGAUGGUAUUGAAGCUAAUAUCCCCCCUCGUCGGGAAAAGUAUGAUGUGUUUAUCAGUUUCAGAGGUGAGGACACCCGCCGUGGUAUUACCAGCCAUCUUCAUGCUGCCUUACUUCAGAAGAAAAUUGAAACCUACAUAGAUUACAGACUUCAGAAAGGAGAAGAAAUCCGACCUGCCCUUCUAGAGGCAAUCGAGAAAUCCACGCAUUCGGUGAUCAUUUUCUCACAAAACUAUGCUUCUUCCACAUGGUGUUUGGAUGAGCUUGUGCAUAUACUCGAAUGCAAGGAAAGACAUGGCCAGAAGGUUAUACCCGUAUUCUACGACAUCAAUCCAUCUGAUGUACGAAAACAACACGGGAGUUAUGCGGAUGCAUUUGCUCAACUUGAAAAACGUUUCAAGGACAGUAUUAAUAAGGUGCACAAGUGGAGGGAUGCUUUGAAGGCUGCAGGCAAGCUAUCUGGGUUUGAUUAUUCAAACAAUCAAGGGUAAGUAACUCAUUCUUUAACUUGUAUAAAAUUAUAAAUUGGGUUAUUAUACAAAAUAGUCUCUCAGAUUUGCAUGAUCAAUGGAAAUGGUCUCUGAAAUUGAAAAUCAAUAAAAAUGGUCCAUGAGAUUGUCUACUAUCCAUGAUUUUGGUUAUUCCGUUAAAAACUCUUUGGGCAAUUCAAAACUUUGUAACUCAAUCGUUUCUUAAUCAAAUUCGACUCAUAAUAUAUCAAAAUGAAGAUAGAAAAGUGUAGAAGAAGAUUAUACCUAUUUUGAAGCCUAAUGGUUGCCGUGGAUGGUCAAAAAAUAGCUUGAAAGGUGACUGGUCAGUGGGAAAACUGGAAAACUCACCGGAAACUUGGUAAACUUUAAACGUUCAUAACUUCUUCAAUACUCAACAAAAUCGAGUGAUUUAAAAACAAAAAUCAUACUUUUUGACGAAAAGAAGAGAAUUGUACCCUUUUUAAAAGGUUAACUCGUCGUGGUUUGGUCGGACAACGGCUCGAAAGUGGCUAACCAUUUUCAAGUUAGCCAAUUUUGAGCAGUUUUCCAUAAAAACCACAUCGAGUUAGCAGUCAAGAUAGAUACCAUUCUCUUCGUCUCAUUGAGAACUAUGAUUUUCUUUUUUGAAUCACGCAAUUUCGUUGAGUAUUGAAGAAGUUAUAAACGUUUAAAGUUUACCCAGUUUCCGGCGAGUUUUUCAGUUUUCCCGCGGACCAGUCACCUUUCAGGCAAUUUUUCGGCCAUCUCCGGCAAUCAUUGGGCUUCCAAAUAGGUAUAAUCUUGUUCUACUUUCUUAUUUUCAUUUUGAUAUAUUAUGAGUCAAAUUUGGUUAAGAAUCGAUUGAGUUACGAAGCUUUGAAAAUUGCCCAAAAAGUUUUUAACGGAAUGACCAAAAUCAUGGAUGGUGAACUAUCUCAGGGAUCAUUUCUAUUGAUUUUCAAUCUCAGAGACCAUUUAUAUUAAUCAUGCAAAUCUUAGGGACUAUUUUGUAUAAUAAUCCUUAUAAAUUUUCUUUAAACUUGUGAGAAUUUGAUUAGAUUUGGUAAAGCAGUACUCUAUUUUAAACUUGGGGAGGGGUGGGGAGAUUUUGGUUUUAACAAGACUUCGUGCCCAAGCGGUGCGGGUCGAAAAAUUAGUCAGGUAAUUAAAAUCAAAACCUAAAAAAGAGUGGAUUUUUUUUUUAAUUUAGAGAACAACAUUUCUAGUGGCAAAGUUAGGAAUUGUCGAGGAAAUGGACGAAAUAUAAAAGGAUAAAAAAUUUAAAAUAAUUUAUACAACAAAAUUCUUUCAAUAUUAGAUAAUAUUAAUGUCGUUCAUAAUUUAUCAAUACAAACAAAUUAUAAUUGUUGUCGUGUCUUGAAAACAUAGCAUAAUAGGCUGAUUAUCAAUAAAAAUAAACAUCUCUCUCAAUAUAAACAACUCAAUUAUUGAUCUCUCAUUUCGUAGCGCAAUAGUGUUUGACAAUUCAUUUCUUAAAAUACAAAAAGAUAACUUAGUCAAACGUCACUAUUUGUGAUACAAAUCCAAAGAAAAAAAAAAAGUUGUGAUAGGUGUGGUUGCUAGAUGAAAGACACCUAGUGGCUAAUUUGUUUGAUGUUAGUGCAUGGUAAUCAAGUGUCAAACAUGCAAUCUCUCUUUACUUGAUUUAUAAUGAGUUAAUGCAAAACGCUCCCUGUAUUAAUUGGUACAUACACUCCCUCAAGUUUCACACAUCUUCAUAAUCUGUCCAUCUCUUCUCUAAUGGAUAAUGACUUCCAUCACCUUUGAAUUCACCUUUUAAAACCAACCUUGCCUCACAAUUAAACGGCGACCCAUGGAAUUAGAUUCAUAUGUGCCCCCAUCUCCUGAUCAAGAUCCGUAAACUGAUGUUUCCUCUAAAGACAUCACCAUAUCAGACAACCCCAACAUCUCGGCUCGCCUUUACCUCCCAAACAUCCAUCAAAAUAAAACCUAAAAGCUCCCCAUCUUGGUUUACUUUCACGGUGUUCUGUUCUAUGUGUUGUCUGCCUAUGGACUCUUCACCCACCACUGUCUUAAUCCUUUGGUUUGCCUUUGAUACGAAACGCACCGUUUCGUUUAAUUCUUUUAUUCCCAAAGCCCAAACGAUGUCGUCUAAAAAUAAAAAAAUGGGACACUUUGGAUGCGGUCCCUAGCUAUCAAUAUUCUUUGAUUGAAACCUUGUUAGUUUUUAAUUUUUGAUUGAGGUCCCUGACAUUAAUGUAAUAAUGUAAGUUACUAUAUUUUUUAAAUUAAAAAUUAAAAAUUGAAAUUUGUAAUUGUUUAUAUUAAUGAGAUUUUAAAUAAAACCCAUAAUUUAUGGGAUUAAAAAUAAUAAAAUAUAAAUUACUCUCUAUUAUAUUGUGUGUGUGUGUGUAUAAAUAUAUGUAUGGGUACAUUAACCAAAAUUAACAAAAAAAGUUAUUGUACCAAAACAUGGAUACAUUCUCAAAUCAACGAAAAAGAAUGUACCCAUAUAAGUUUAAACAUGGAUUAAAAAAUUUGAAUGGAUUUUAUAUUUAAAAAAUGGUACAUUUUACAUAUAACAAAUUGAUAUAUUUGAGAAUGGGUACAUUUAAGAUUAAAAAAAUUGAAAAAAUUAUAUGAAUGGGUAUAUUUAAGAUUAAAAAAUUGAGAAUCUUUUUAUAUAUAAAAAAAAAACUAAUAGGUACAAACUUAAUUUAAUUUAAUUUUUUAUUAUUUUGGAAAUGUUUGAAUUGAAAAUUAAUUAGAAGUUUAAUAGAGGUGUGAGUAUUAAACCCUAAAUUAAUUACUAAUUUUUAUAUUAAAAAAUUAUAUAAUAAACAUGUAAAUUCAUUAUCACAUUAAUGCUAGGGACUUGAAUCAAAAUUUGAAAACUAAUAAGGUCUUAGUCAAUGAACAGUAAAAACUAGGGACCGGAUACUAAUUUUUCCGGAAGACAUUGGAUGCGGUCCUUAGUUAUGAAUAUUUUUUUUAUUGAAACCUUGUUGGUUUUUAAUUUUUGAUCGAGGUCCCUGAAAUUAAUGUGAUAAUUUAUUUCUAUGUAUGUUACUAUAUUUUUUAAAUUAAAAAUUAGAAAUUUUAGUUGUUUAUAUAAAUGAGAUUUUAAAUAAAUAAAAACCAUAAUUUGUGGGAUUAAAAAUAUUAAAAUAUAAAUAUACUAUUGUGUGUGUAUAUAUAUAAACAUGGGCACAUUCAUCAAAUUAACCAAAAAAUUUAUUGUAUCAAAACAUGGGUACAUUCUUCAAAAUCACAACAACAACAAAAAUAUUAGGCUUAAUAACAUUAGUAAAUUUCUUCGAUUAAACUUGACAUGAAUACAUUUUAAAAUCAAAGAAAAAAGAAUGUACUCAUAUAAGUUUAAAAAUGGAUUAGAAAAAAUUGAAUAGAUUUUAUAUAUUAAAAAAAAGGGGGUACAUUUUACAUAUAACAAAUUGGUAUAUUUAAGAAUGAGUACAUUUUAAGAUUAAAAAGUUUUACAUGAAUAGGUACAUAUAAUUAGCAUGGGUACAUUUAGCAAAAUAAAAAAAUAAUAUAUGGGUACAAAUACAAAUAAACUUUAAAAAAUAUCUGCACAAAAAUAAAUUAAUAUAUGGGUACAAAUUAAAACUUAAAAGAAAAUUGGUACAAGUUAAAAAAGAAUUACAAAUUAAAAAUUGGUACAAACUAAAACUAAAAAUUUAUGAUAAAAAUUUUAGUCAUAAAUAUAAAUAUACUAAUUGUAACAUUUUUAACAUUAAUCGAAUAUAUUUAGAAAUAAAAAAAAAUUAUUAUUGAAAUAAUUAAUGAUGUUAUUAAUACCCAAGGACCUUGAUAAAAAUUUGAAAAGGAAUAGGAUUUUAAUCAAUGGAGUAGCAAAAGGAAGGAUGAGAACCUAAUUUCUCCUAAUGUAAAUAAUGGAACAAAAUAGAACAUUUUAAUAGAAGGUGUAAUGACAAAUAUAAUGUCUUUGCAUAAGAGACAUAUGUAGCAUGCAAUUCAAUCGGCUUUUCAAACUUGUUUACAAUAACCCUAUUUACACAUAUUUACAACAACUCAACUCGAUUUGCACAUAUAUAUGUACAAUCAUAUUUACAAUUCUAUUUACGGAUACAAUGUCCUUAUCAUAUUUGAAGCCAGCAACCAAACAACAUAUGAUAAUUCCAAAACACACAACGCAAGAAUCUUUACUCAGUUAGUCUCCGAUCUAAUUACAACUCUAGAGUAAGUACUUCCAAAAGAAUAUGAACUUAUAUAUAUAUUAACUAUAUAAAUAUAAAUAUAGAUACAAAUAUAUACCAAAUCUCGACAUACGUCCAGGAUCGACAUCUAACACAGGGACGUAGGGGACAUCUUAACAUACGUACAAGAGAUGAAUGAAAUAUUAGAACUGAUACCUCAGAGUAAACAUGAUAGUGGACUCUCCCCCACAUACAAAUCUAUAUUCUCAAAAUACACAACCCUUAUUAGGGCCAAGACAUACCCAUAGGCUCAAAAUACAAGUCUCAAAAGAAAUAAUACAAUGAAAGGUAAAGUGGUAAACUAGUCGCUCCAAGUCUUUGAUCUUUGCACUGCUACCCCCACCGACUCCUUGUAAUCUACUCAGGCUUGUCACCUGUACAAUCAGGCAUGCAGUCCGCGCUAACGCACCCUGGCACGAAUAUCAAGAAGUCACGUACUAUCGUUGCAUGGGCUGAGGUCCAAUUUGGUCGGGAAAUGGCCAGAAAUCACCUUAGACUGUCGAAACCUUAAAUGGGUAUUAUUCGAAUCGCUGUCAAAUCGAACCCCAACGCCCCAACCAGUGUUUAGGCCUUGGUCCUAGGUUCAAGGAGAGUCUAUUGGUGGAGGUGGUUGAAGGAACAAGCUUUAGAAAUGGCCGAUCGCCAUCGAAUACUCAUGGACCCGUCGGUGGAGUUCUUCGCGAAACCGAGGCCAAAUCUCAUCGAGUUUGUGUAGAGACUGAAGGGAAACUGAUGUGGUGAUGUUUGGUGGUGAUGGAAGUUCGAGAAAAGCCUGAAAAAUCGAUAGCAAUCAUGUCGGAAAUUGUAGAGGGUUCGGGUUAGGAGUCGGGUCGCGAGGGGGGAGUAGGUCUGCUGGGUUGUCUCCCCUCUUCUCUGAUUGGUUUCCUCACUAUCACUCUCUCUCUAAUUGGCCCUCACCCAAAUUAAUGGGAGCUUCUAAUUAUAUAUAGGGCUAGAAAUUUUUCUCGAAAAUCCUAAACCAAACUAAAAAAAACCUCGAUCCCAUACCGAAAAAAUCCCAAACCGAUAAUACUGAAAUUUUUGGGAUCCCUACCGAACCGAUCCUGAACUUUACGGUACGAAAAUCAGGAUUACAUAUUCAAUGGUUCGGGAAUCCCAAACCAAACCGAAAAUAUAUAUAUAUAUAUAUAAACUUUUGGUUGCAUGCAUGUUGAAUGUUGAAUUUAAGUAGUUUGAUGGUAAACUAUAUUAGAAAUAGAAAUAUGAAAUUAAGUAGUUUGAAACUUUGGAACGUCAAUUUGACUUGGUAUGAAUGAAUUGGUAUUUCAAUUGGUAUGAGGUAAAAAACUUCAAUUUUUAUUGAUAUGAAAUUGGGAAACAAAAUUUUAGGCCAAAAGCCCAAAUUUUAGCUUAUAGCCCAAAAAUCUCAAAUUUCAACCCAAAAACCCAAAAGCCCAAAACCGAAAAUCCAAUCCCAAUCCAUCUUGAAAUACUAAAAAUAUUUUGAGAAUCCCAAAAAUUGGGAAUAACGAAAUUUUGGUUUGGGAUUGGUCUUCAAAUUCUCAUCUUAAAAUUUUUCGGUUUGGAAUCCCAUACCGAACCACCCAUAAUUAUAUAUUAAACACAUUUUUUUUUAAUUGAACUUCCAACAUCCGUAACUUCUUCGUUAUCACUCCGAUUCGCAAACGGUUUUUGCCUACACACUCAUGGAAUUGAGUUCUAUUAGAAAACACUAACAGUGGCCUUGAAAGGUCUACGAAUUUUAAAAGAUUAAUUACGAAAAUUUAUACUUUGUAACUAUUCUAAAAUUAACGGAAUUAGAAUAAAAUUAAAAUAACGUAAAUAAAUACGUAAUUAAUAAUGAAAAUUCAGGGACGGGAUUUCACAUCCUUCCCUCUUAAAAAGAGUUUAGUCCCUUAAACUCAACGCACCUGAGUCAAACAGAUGUGGAUAGUGCUGGCAUAUCGUCCUCUGUCUCCCAAGUCAACUCAUCCACGCCAUGAUUGUUCCAUAACACGCGCACUAAAGAAAUACUCUUGGUGAGGAAAGCUUUCUUUCUUCACCCGUCAAAAUUGAGGUUCUCUUUAACCUAAAUGGGCCCAUAUGAAAUGACACGAGACGGAUCAGUUCGAUACUUCCAAAGCAUAUAUACGUGAAACACCAGAUGAAUGUGUAAUAGCUCUGGCAGUAGUGCAAGACGAUAGGCAACCUCAUCAACUAUCUUUAAGAUCUCAAACGGCCCAAUAUACCUCGGACUAAGCUUCCCUUUAUGCCCAAACCUAAGGACGCCUUUCAUAGGAGAAACCUAUAAGAAAGCAUACUCUCCAACCUUGAAUGUCACCUCAAGUCUGUGAGCGUCAACUUUAUUGUCGACUCUAAGUUGCUAAUAAAUGUGCACGGAUCAUAGUAACCUUCUUUGCAACAAUCUUCAUUAACUCUGGCCCCAACCGUCGACGCUCGCCUACCUUGUCCCAAUACAAAAGAGAUCUGCAUCUCUUCUCAUAAAGUGCUUCGUAAGGUGUCAUCUGAAUACUCGUCUGGUAACUGUUAUUAUACUCAAAUUCAAUCAAAAACAAAUGUCUAUCCCAACUACCCUUCAAAUCAAGUACACAAGCUCAAAGUAUAUCUUUCAAGGUCUGAAUAGUGCGCUCUAACUGACUGUCAGUCUGAGGAUGAAAAGUUGUGUUGAAACUCAACUUAGUCCCCAUAGCAUUAUGAAGACUACUCUAAAAACAAGAAAUGAAAUAAGGAUCACGAUCAGAAAUGAUAGACACUGGAAAUUAUGUAACUUCACAAUCAUAUGUAAGAAGAGUCUCAUAAGUCGCUCCAAAGUAUAAGUCUUCUUAAUGGCAAGAAAGUGAGCGGAUUUCAUCAAUCGACUAACAAUAACCCAAAUGGAAUCAUGCCUAUCUCAAGUCCUCAGCAAGUUUGUCACAAAAUCCAUGGUAAUGUGCUCCUACUUCAUUUCAGGAAUAGAGAGUGAUUGAAGUAAGCCUGUGGGCUGCUAAUGUUCUGCCUUAACUUGCUGACAAGUCAAGCAAUAUGCGACGAACUCGACAAUUUCUCUCUUCACGUUUCCCUACCCAAAACUCUCAGAAAGAUCUCGAUACAUCUUCGUACCUUCGAGGUGAACAAAAAAAAUGGAAAUAUGAGCCUCAUCCAUGACCUCUCUUUGUAGAUCUCUAACAUUUGGGACACAAUGGAACAUUUGAAGUCCUAAAAUUUAAGUAGAACAACGGUUAAAGAGCUACACUCAUCAAUCGAGUUUCUCCCUGUUCUUGAAAGACUUGAACUACAAGCUUGCAACAGACUUUCAAGUAUCCCAAAGAGCAUUUGCAAGUUGAAGUUUCUCGAGGUACUCGAUCUCUCUUCGUGCUUCGUACUUGAAAACUUCCCAGAGAUCUUGGAGUCAAAGGAACAUUUGAAGUCCUUAAAUUUAAGUAGAACAGCGGUUAAAGAGCUACACUCAUCAAUCGAGUUUCUCCCUGCUCUCGAAAGACUUGAACUACAAGCUUGCGACAAACUUUCAUAUAUCCCAAAGAGCAUUUGCAAGUUGAAGUAUCUCAAGGUACUCGAUCUCUCUUCGUGCUCCGAACUUGAAAACUUCCCAAAGAUAGUGGAGCCAAUGGAACAUUUGAAGUUCUUAAAUUUAAGUGGAACAGCAGUUUAAGAGCUACACUCAUCAAUAGAGUUUCUCCCUGCUCUUAAUAGACUUGAACUACGCUAUUGCAAAAGGCUUUCAAGUAUCCCAAUGAGCAUUUGUAAGUUGAAAUAUCUCAAGGAACUCAAUCUCUACAGUUGCUUUAAACUUGAAAACCUCCCAGAGAUCUUGGAGCCAAUGGAAAAUUUGAAGUCCUUAAAUUUAAGUAGAACAGCAGUUCAAGAGCUACACUCAUCAAUCGAGUUUCUCCCUACUUUCGAAAGACUUGAACUAUGUGAUUGCAAAAGGCUUUCAAGUAUCCCAAAGAGCAUUUGUAAGUUGAAGUAUCUCAAGGUGCUCGAUCUCUCUUGGUGCUAUGAACUUCAACACUUCUCAGAGAUCUUGAAGCAAAUGGAACAUUUGGAGUCCUUAGAUUUAAAGUGGAACAGGGGUUGAAGAGCUACCUGUAAGCAGUAUAUGAAUAAAUAAGCUACUGCAACAUAGCAAACCAACACAACCCUAGGAUUACCAACUAAUAUUAGAUUCAUCAUAACUAGAGAAAUACCAGUUUAUAAUCUGCAAGAUACUUACCUGGAGGCAUCGCCAUUGAAGAAACAACAGAAGAAGAAGUCUUCUACUUCCAACACUCAAAAGUCUCUCUUCUAAGUGAAUAGGGUUUUAGAUAAUAUCAAGAGCGUACAUGAGGAAGCAGGGACUUCAACUAUAUAUAUCCAUCCAUUUAGCUAGAGAUUCACUCGGUCCAGCCUAUUAUCAGAAAGAGUGAUAAUCUCUAUCUCUUAAUAAGUUUUAGUCCUAUCAUGACUCUAUAUACUAGUAUAUAUUUGAUAAGGAUCAAAAUAGAACAGUUGCAACGUAUAAAACUCCACAAUUCUUGUCAUACUAAAGCUCUCAGACUCCUUGUGUUUCGCAUAACUAGUAUAACUAGUUAGACGCCACCCAAGUAGUCCAGUUGUAAUCUCAUUGUCAUUCAAACAAGUUUUACAUUCUCCCACUUGAAUGUCAAUGAUAUGCCUUAAUAUUACAAGAAUCAUGAUGAUCAUAGAGUUCACAAAAGCUUGCAACUGAUCCUUCUUAGUAACUUGUCAUUUUUAAGAAAAAUAUAGGACCACAGAAAACAAAGCACGAAUAGCUUGCCCUUUGCACUCUGUGAUCACAUACAUAUUUAACUUAAAAACACUAUGUCACUCUUGAGAGUCAUGAUGUCAAAAACUGACAAUUCAGAAUGUCAGUUCCCCAUAACAAACUGAAAUAAUUCCAGUACCAAAGUUGUUUGUAGAAACAUGAUCAGCCAAUUUAAGCAAAUUAAUAAAGAUAACAAAUUUGCAAGCUAACCAACAACUGUCAAUCAAUAAACAAAAUAACUGAAACAAACUCAACACAGUUUAUGGAGUGCUUACUCCCACUCAUUAACUGAAUCAAAUACCUCUCUUACUCCCAUGUUGAAAACAUGUUUCUUGAAAACUCCCACUGGUAAAGCCUUUGUCAUUGGAUCAGCAACCAUUAAACUUAUGUUGAUGUACUCAAUUUCGACAGUUCCUUUCUUCACUUCAUCUCGUACUUUUAAGUAUUUGAUGUCCAUCAAUCUACUGGCAUAAGACCUCUUGUUAUUCUUCGAAAAGAAAACUACAGCUUUGUUGUCACAAUACAACUUGAGAGGCUUUUCAACACUAUCAACGAUUUCCAAUCUUUUCAUCAUGUUUUUAAGCCAAACGGCUUGUUAAGUUGCUGCUUAGCACCCUAUAAAUUCAACUUCCAUAGUUGAAGAUGCAAUACCUUUCUGUUUUGCACUCUUCCACGAUACUGCACCAUUAGCCAACAGAAAGAUAUAUGCAUUAGUUGACUUUCUGUUGUCUACGCACCCUGCCAAGUCCGAAUCCGUGAACCUCACCAAUUCCAGCUUGUUCACAUGACUGUAAGUUAACAUAAAAUCUCUUGUUCUUUUGAGAUACCUCAGUACCUUUUUCGCUGCAACCCAAUGACAUGCACCAGGAUUUGAUUGAAACUUACCAAGCACACUCAUUGCAAAAGCCAAAUCCGGUCUUGUACAUACAUGGGCAUACAUGAGACUCCCUACAAGAGAUGCAUAGGGCUUGUCUUUCAUUCCCUCCUUCUCUAAUUCAUUUUUGGGACAUUGAACACUGCUCAGUUUGUCUCCUUUGCCGAUAGGCAAUUCUCCAUUCGAACAUUUGUCCAUAUUGAAUCUUUAGCAACUCUAUCGAUAUACUGCCUUUAAGAAAGACCAAGAGACUUCGUAGCACGAUCUCUUACAAUUUCUAUUCCCAAAACAAAUCGAGCUUCCCCCAAGUCCUUCAUGUCAAAGUUUUGUGUGAGCAUACUCUUAGUUGCCUGUAGUAGAGACAUAUCGGAGCUAGCUAAUAAUAUAUCGUCUACAUACAAUACUAAGAAUAUGACCUUCGCACCAAGGACUUUCAGAUAAAUACACUCAUCCAAUUUGUUCUCUUGGAAACCAGAAGUUGCCAUUACCUGAUCAAAUUUCCUAUUCCAUUGCCUCGAGGCUUGUUUUAAGCCGUAUAUAGACUUAUUCAGUUUACAAACCAUCGUUUCCUUCCCCCUUUCAACAAAUCCAGGUGCUUGUUGCAUGUAAAUAUCUUCUUCAAGAUCUCCAUUUAGAAAUGCCGUCUUGACGUCCAUUUGAUGAAGUUCUAAAUCAAAAUGUGCUGUGAGAGCUAGGAUUAUUCUCAUGGAAUCUUUUGUUGAGACUGGAGAAAAUGUCUCAUUAUAAUCAAUGCCUUCCCUUUGUGUAAAGCCCUUCGCCACUAACCUUGCUUUGUGUUUGUCAAUGUUGCCUUGUGAGUCUCGUUUUGUCUUGAACACCCAUUUACAACCAAUAAUUUUUGUUGUUCCAGUUGGCUUUGGAACUAAGCUCCACACACGGUUUUUCUCCAUGGACUCCGGUUCUUCAUGCAUGGCUUGUUUCCAUAGUGUGGAUCUUGAACCUGUUAUGGCUUGAUUGUAGGACAAGGGAUCAUCUUCAUCACCUAUAGUAUGUUCUGCCUCAUUUAGGUAUACGAAAUCAGGCAACAAUGCUGGCUUACGUACUCGCUGUGAUUUUCGAAUAGUUGAUUCGAAAACUGCAAUUGCUGGAUCAUUCAUAAGGUCUUCUUCAGUUGAUUGUACCGGUGCAUGUACUUCAUGUUCCUGGACGUCUGCAUGGGGUGCAUACUCCUCAUUUGUUGUAUCAUUUUCAUGAACCGUAUGUGAACUGUCAUGAAAAGGGUGUGGCUGCAUGUCCAUGGGAAUGAUAAGAGUAGGUGCAUGCUGAUCAAUAACGUCAUUAUCAAGUGUAAUUUCUUUGAAUUCUGAGGAUGUAGCUGCUGAUAUUCUGAUGUCAGUUUCAUCCUCAUCUUCAAGAAAUCUUGCAUUAUGGGUUUCCAUAACCCUCGAGUGACUGUUAGGGCAAUAGAACUUAUACCCUUUAGACUUCUCAGAAUACCCAAUGAACUUGCAACUGGUGGUCCUUGGAUCGAGUUUUUUCUCUGUUGGAUUAUAGAAUCUGGCCUCAGCAUUACAACCCCAUACACGAAAGUGAUGAAAGCUCGGUUUCCUUCCAGUCCAAGCUUCAAAUGGAACCAUGUCUACGGACUUGCUUCGUACACGGUUCAAUAUAUAGUUUGCAGUUUUCAGUGCUUCACCCCAAAGAAACAUCGGAAGCUUUGAAUGUGCAAACAUGGAUCUGAUCAUGUCUUUCAGGGUUCGAUUCCUUCGUUCAGCAACUCCAUUCUGGUGUGGAGUCCCAGGGGUGGUAUACUGGGCCACGAUGCCAUUUUGUUCAAGAUAAGUUGCAAACGGUCCUUUGUUUUGUCCAGCCUCAAUGAACCUGCCAAAAUACUCACCACCUCUAUCGGAUCUCACAAUCUUAAUGUGUUUUUCUAGUUGUUUUUCAACUUCCAAAUGGAAUAUUUUAAAACAAUGCAAGGCUUCAAAUUUUUCAGAAAUAAGAAAUACAUAUGCAAACCGUGAAAAAUCAUCAAUGAAAGUUAUAAAAUAUGAUUUUCCACGUAUGGUUUUAAUUGGAAAGGGUCCGCAAGUAUCAGUGUGUAUAAUUUCUAGUAGAGAUUGGCUACGGUUUGACCCUAUUUUCCUAGUAUUGGUGAGUUUUCCUUUAAAACAAUCAACACACUCUUUAAAGUUGCUGAAAUCAAGUUGUGGCAACAAGUCUUGUUUUGUAAGUGUGAUGAUUCUUUCUUUAGAGAUGUGCCCCAACCUUUUGUGCCAAAGCAUUAAGAUUUUUUCAUGAGUGAGCACUUGUUUUGAACCAACACUUUGAACAUUAAAACAUUCAAUCUCAUAAGUACAAUUCAUUUGCCACAUAUCAAUUUUAAGAUAUGCUUCACCAAGCAAUUUAUUCAUGUCAUUGGAAUGGAAAAACUUUACACUUCGACUGUCACCCACAAAUGUAAAGCCGGACUUAACUAACUUAGAUGCAGAAAUUAGAUUCCUUCUCAUGGAAGGUACAUAGAGUACUGGACUCAAAUCUAAAAUAAAGUUAGAGGAAAGAACACUUCCUAUGGAUUCGACAGCAACUUUGCUGCCAUUCCCUACAUAAACAUUGUAGACUUCAUUGUUUAUCACCCUUGUUUUUUAGAAGUCCUGCAAAGAAUUAGUUAUGUGAAUAAAGCAGUCUGUGUCAAACCACCAACUUUGAGGAGGAAUGUAAACUAAAUUAGACUCAACACACACAAAAAUAUUUAUUUCGUUACCUUUCUUAACAAGCCAAUUCUUGAAGCCAUUGCAGUUCUUUCUUAAGUGACCUGUUUCUUUGCAAAAAUAACACUCUUUUUCUUUCUCAGGUUCAAUGUUAACAGCUGCAACGUAUAAAACUCCACAAUUCUUGUCAUACUAAAGCUCUCAGACUCCUUGUGUUUCACAUAACUAGUAUAACUAGUUUGAUGCCACCCAAGUAGUCCAGUUGUAAUCUCAUUGUCAUUCAAACAAGUUUUACACUACCCACACCACUCGAGUAUCUCUCUGUUCUCACAGUAUACAAACAAUUUUUGUUCUAGAUUGUCCAAAAUCCCUAAAAUCUUGAAGCCAAUGAAACAUUUGGUGUCUCUUACUUUGCAAGGGAUAACUGUCGAAAUUCUUCCUUCGUCUAUUAAAAAUCUAAUUAGGCUUAAAACUUUAAACCUUUGUGGCCGCAAGCACCUUAACGAUGUCCCAACAAGUAUCUACAGUUUAACCAAUCAUAAAAGUCUCAACUUUUAUGCUUGUUGGAAACUUGAAAAAUUGUCUUCUAGCUCUGCCGGUUCUCUCUCUUUUGUACUACUAAAUCUCAUCAGCUACAGCGGUAUAUUGGAAAAUCCCUGAUGGUCUCUUUUUCUCAACCUCAUUGUAAAAUUUAUCUUUCUGGAACCAAGAUGACAAUUCCAAAGGUGGUGGAUGAAGAGAUGAGCCUGAAGCCAUUGGUUGGUGGAUGAAGAGAUGAGCCUGAAGCCAUUGGAUCAAGUGAUUAAGUCCAAAGCAAAUGAAAGCGAUGAUCAUGGACUGCAAAACACAACAAAAAAAAAAAAACCCGAAAAGGGUCGAAUCUAAUCUGCAGAGACCACCUAAAAUCAAGCUCAAGUAAAAUCUGAGAAAAAAUAGAUGAAUCUAAUCUGCAGAAACGAAAAAUAAUCGAAAUGAAAGAAGAGGUGGAAGGGAAUCGGAGCUUACCAGAGAGAGAGUGGUGGAGUUCAGUAAAAUUUUUGAGGGAAGAAGAUGAGGGAGAUAACCGGAGCCAGGACACAGCACAACGAUCUUUCAGUUUCAGUCUCAACACACGGUGCGAGGCAGCGACUAGCAACUAGCGAGAGAGAUAGGAACAUGAGGGUUUUGGAAACUAUUGAAAUUACACAAAAGUCCUUACUAACGGGUGUUAACGGGUGGUUAAUAGGUUUCGUGGGUUCACCCAAACUGACCCGUUAUUUAACGGGUGAUUAACGGGUUGACCAGUUAACCACCCGACCCGUUUAUCACCCACCCGAAUAUUAAUUUUAACAGGUUGGAUUGUGUCGGGUUAACAGGUUAGGUUGAAAAUGCCAGGCCUACCCAAUAGACAUGUGUUCUUCGUUUUAAAAGCCCCAGAAAAAAUAAUGACAUAUACAUUAUAUUAUAAAAGAGAAACUAAUGAAAAUAGCUUGAAAACUUUGAGUUUUAACGAUAAAGACAAAAUAAAGGAUAAAGUGAAAUUUGACUUUUUAGUGUAAAAAUGUCCAUUAAAGUGAACAAUAUCGCGGAUUUUUCAUUAAAACUCCAUAUUAAAAGAAUAAAACAUGUGUUAAUUUAUUAUUGGACAAAACUAAGAGAUGAGUACUCACUAGGGAGUAAACAAAUAUUGUCCAAAUAAUUGUAUUUUGCUUUCACAGUUUCAUAAAUAUGUUACAAAAUACAUGUACAAUGACUACAUGUCCAUAAAGAAGCAGCAGCAGCAAUAUCCAUUACCUUCAAAAGAAAUGACAAAAAAAGCAGAAAAGAGCUUUAAACAGUAUCAAUCGAUAAACACUGAUUAACCUCUGACAAGUUACCAAUUUGCCAAGGGCUUGUUUGUUUUCUCCACCUUCAAAAUAAUAUCCAAAACAAUUAGUUUUUUUGUAUCAUCAGCAUCUGCAAGAGCAGCAGCGGAUGAAGAAGAAGAAGCCAUAUCCAUAACUUCUAGUUUUCAGAUCUAGGAAGUAGUAGUUGCAGAGAGAUUAAUUGUGAAUUAGAAAGAGAGAGGUUCAGAAUUAAGGAGGAUCCAAUAAAGCGAGAGAGAGAGAGAGUUGUUCAGAAUUAAGGAGGACCUGAUGAAACAAAAGAGAGAGAGAGAGAGAGAGGGAGGGAGGGAGGGAGGGAGGGAGACUAGAUCAGAAUUUACGAGAGAGAGAGAGAGAGAGAGACUAGAUCAGAAUUUACUCGAAUUGGCUUUUGACUAAAGUUCCAAAGGCUCCUUCAGGAAUAUCAAUGAGUGAGAGAUGAAUAGUUAUAGAAGUACAAAAAGAGGCACAUGUUGUAAAGUUUUUCAGUUAGUUUGUAAAGGUUUUUUUGGUAAACACGGGGUUGUAAAGUUUUUUUUUUUCUUUUGGUAAACACGGUUGUAAAGUUUUUCAGUUAGUCAAUAACCAGUUUCUUUCAAGAAAUUUUUAAGAAAUUUCCAAGCAACUUUGAUUGAGGACAUUUUUAUAAUUUUCAAAAGAAAAUAAGUGAAUUUCACACUACAAAUCAUAGAGUUAAGAAUAUAAUUGUUCACCAAUUGAGAUUGAACAAGAUUUGGACUAUGUCUUUCCGAGCACAAGUGACAAAUCAAUUCAUUGAAUUAUAGAGUUUCAGCCUAUUUAAUUUGAUACAAGAUAUACACAAUCAUAACAACUAUCAAUUUUACUACUAUAUUAUAGUGAAAUCAAACUAAACGGAUGUUAAUAGUUAUCCAUUAAUAAAUAUUCAAUGGGUUAGUUAGUCACUUCUAUUUCCGAGGCUAUCGAAAGGUCCAAAGAAAGUCCAGAACUCCCACAACGAAGUUGCACACUUCAAUCUAGAGUGGCCAUACCCCAAACUAACAUAUACAAUUACAAAAAAUGGAAACUAGACAAGGUUGUAGCUCCAAUUAAGAAUGUGUUACAUUAUGUGUCAAUGUUUACUAAUUACAUCAAUUAUUAGGCCGGUUCUUUGAUUUUGAUUCGAAACAUGGUACUACUUCAAAGAUCCCCAAUGUUUUAUUUAAAAGACCUUUCCAUGCACAUCAUGUAAUUCAAGAAGUUUCAGGGACUAAUUAAAUAGCGAAAAUGAGGUGAUCGCAAAAGGGAUCAAUCAAAAUGCCUUAAUUGUACCAACUAAUGAAGUUAUUUAAGGGGUUUAUAAUCAUAUUUUAGAACGCUAAUCAUUGAUCGUCUCCUUAAAGAAAAAGAGGACGUGAAACCGACGAAACAUGAACACAACAUCGUCAUGGACAAGAGUUGCUUGUUGGCCAUAAUAAGAAUAGUUAAUCUAUAUGGGAGUGUAUAGAUUAUCAAUUAGGUUUCCUUUUUAGAAAGAUUUACAGAACGAUGCUUAAAUGUACAUAUGCGAUUUACAGUUUGAAAAUAUAACAUGUCAAAUAUCCGACAAACAAAUAACUCUGAUUUCUAAAUUGUAGCUUCCUUCUCAAUCUCGCAUUAAUUUGCACCUUUAUGUGCACGUUUUUGUUUCCCCACUUUGUACAAGUUGACAAAUCAAAAACAUAAACUUGCUAACCAACUCUAAUUUCUAAAGGGGUGUGCUAUCCACACAUUCAUUUUUACUUCUCACACAUUCUUAUUAAUUUAUGUUCGUUGAUCUUCUUCAUUUCAUCCGAUCUGACGAUCAAAAAUUAGAAAGAUGUGUGAGAAGUAAAAAGGGGGGUGUGGAUAUCACACCCCUUUCUAAAUUGUACUAGCAUAUGGGCACACACAAAGUAUGUGAGAAAUUUUUUUUGUUUUUGUUUUUGAAAUAGAAGGAGAGAGGAAGAGAGUGAUAGAGAAUGUGGGAGUGAGAAGUUUUUUUUUUAUAAUUUAUUUAUUUUAAUUAGAGAUAUGUUAUGAUUACAUAUAGGUGAGACUUUGAAGAAAAAAAACAAAAUUUAGUUGUGUGAAAUUACAUUUAUGUCCCAUAUUUCUUAUUCAUGUUUUGUUUUAAAUAGAAAUUUAAACUGAUAAUUGCAUAGGAUUUUGGUUGACAGUUAGUGUUUUAUUAAAUAGUAGAGAUUUGUUGUGGUAAUACCUAAUGGGCCGGGCUCAUUAGGCCCAGUGGCAAUUUUGAAAUAUCACACAAAUACAGUACCAUUUUUGUCACAAAAAAUAAAAAGGAAAAAUCAUCGUUUUCUACCCCCAAACUAUUGGCAUCGCUCAGUGUCUCCAUCGUCUUCUGAUUUUCCUCCGAAUCGGAGAAGAAAGGCAACCACAUCAUGGUCCUCCGAAUUCAUGGUUUUCUGAUUCUUCCCGGCGCUCCUUACGCGUACUGCAGCCUGAGCGCGCGGCGCUCUCGAUUGAUUCCAUAGUCUGAUCUUCCCCGAAUCGCAAUCCGAUGGUGGCGAUGGCGUCGACGCAGAAACAAUCGGCGAAUCUCUUCGAUGCGUAUUUCCGAAACAGAUUGAUUUUGAAUUUGUAGUCUAAUUGUAGUUGAAGUGGUAAAUGUGAGUUCGGGAUGUCUUAAUUCUCUUAUCUAAGCUGAGAUUUUUAUUUUGUGUUAGUAUAACUGCGGAAUUGAUGUUCAGAUGGUAGAAAAUAAGUAGUUGAAGAAUUUAUACUACAGUUAGUGAGGUUGAGAGAGUUAUGUUAUCAGGUCAUUAAUUUAUGUUUGAUGGAGCGGUUUAGAGGGGGAAGCCCUCUUCCAGCUGUGCUACCAAGCAAUGUUAUGUAUGAUUUAUCCAAUAUUUUUCAACCUGCAAAUAAUUACUCCAAUGCUGGCAAUGUAGUCUGGAGACCUGCUUCUCGUAUUCAUCCAUAAAACAAAUCACUUUUAUAUUUUGAAACAUGUCUUUCUUUGAUGGAGAAUAGUUUCUUAUUUUUCACUUUAAAAGGCUUUCAACAACAGCAACUGAUGCCUGGUCUUGGUGCUUGGCACAUGGCACCCCCAGCUGGAGGAAGACCACCGAAGACAGUUGCUCCUUCUCAUGCUGAGGAAAAGCAGCAGGCCAAUUAGCAGAAACCCGGAGUACCAGAAUUGGAGAAACAUCUUGUAGAUCAACUGAAUACAGAGGAGGUUAACUCACUGAACUCAAAGUUCAAAGAAGCAACUGAAGCUGAUAAAAAGGUACUUAGAACUUCAAUGUUUCCCCAGUUUUCUCAUCUUGAGCAGCAAAGUUAUGUGUGCAUGUUACUUCCUGAUAAGUGUCAAAUCAUAACAAAUAUCCCAGAUACUUGGGGAAAGAAAUCUUGGAUGCUAGAGAGAAAAUUGAAUAUUUCCAGGUCAAAAUGCAGUUCAGCCAUCGAACUUGUAAUGUAUCUUUUGUAUUUCAUUUCUUUGUGUAUGCAUCUCGCUUUUUCUUCAUUCUUUUCUUCCUUUAGCUUGUAGCACAACGUAUAAUUUUUUUCCUUAAUUUUGGAAUGUUCCUAGUCCUAUUGAAGCAAAGAGCCUUAUAGUUAUUAUCGUUGUUACAAAUUCGAUGAACAAUCGCAUACUUUUGUGGUGUUGAAUGUUCAAACUAUCGCGCUUGGUUGUGAGAUUUUUACUUUGCCCUGGCAUGGUGUGUUAAUUAAUGUCUAUGUUUAUGAUAUAAAGGUAAAUCAAGUUUUAAAGAUAACAAAUAGGCUAUUAUACACUUGUCCAUAACUAGCGCUUUAUAAUGUAUAAAGCAUAAACAAUACCAAAAUAAUAAAAGCCUUGCCUAGUUGUUGUCUUAUUUCUUGGUCAGACAAGUGAGCUAUCAAAGUACAAAUUUGCCUUAAAAAGUUUUUCGUAAUCACCUUGUGUGAGUGUUGUCCUUGAACUUGACACUAACUUCAACGAUGUGCAGCCUUUAGCUAUAACAAUACAUAGCACUGGGAGCCCUGGUAUAGAUUGAAGCCGCUUGCAGUAGUUUAAGUUGAGUAUAGACAACCGAGAAGCUUGUUUGAUGCUUGCUGGUAUUUCCAAUAUACCGCUGUAGCUGAGGUUUAGUUCUUCUAAAGAGAGAAAACCAACAGAGCUGGAAGGCAAUUUUUCAAGUCUGCAACAGCCAUUAAAGUUGAGACGUUUAAGAUUGGUUAAACUGUAGAUACUUGUUGGGACAUCCUUAAGUUGAUGGCAGCGACUAAGGUUUAAAUCUUGAAGCCUAUUUAGAUUUCCAAUAGACGAAGGAAGCAUUUCGACAGCUGUCUCUUGCAAACUAAGAUACUCCAAAUGUUCCAUUGGUUUCAAGAUUUCAGGGAAUUUGGAAAAUCUAGAGCACUUGGUGAGAUCAAGACUCUCAAGAUAUUUCAAGUUACAGAUUGAUGAGGGUAGCUCUGUAACUGCUGUUUGAAUUAAACUUAAGGACUUCAAAUGUUCCAUUGGCUUCAAGAUUUCAGGGAAUUUGGAAAAUCUAAAGCACCUGGUGAGAACAAGACUCCCAAGACAUUUCAAGUUACAGAUGGAUGAGGGUAGCUCUGUAACUGCUGUUUCAAUUAAACUUAAGGACUUCAAAUGUUCCAUUGGCUUCAAGAUUUCAGGGAAUUUGGAAAAGCUAGAGCAAUUGGUGAGAUCAAGACUCUCAAGAUAUUUCAAGUUACAGAUUGAUGAGGGUAGCUCUGUAACUGCUGUUUCAAUUAAACUUAAGGACUUCAAAUGUUCCAUUGGCUUCAAGAUUUCAGGGAAUUUGGAAAAUCUAGAGCAAUUGCUGAGAUCAAGCCUCUCAAGAUAUUUCAACUUACAGAUUGAUGAAGGUAGCUCUGUAACUGCUGUUUGUCUUAAACUUAAGGACUUCAAAUGUUCCAUUGGCUCCAAGAUUUCAGGGAACUUGGAAAAUCUAAAGCACCUGGUGAGAACAAGACUCUCAAGAUAUUUCAAGUUACAGAUUGAUGAGGGUAGCUCUGUAACUGCUGUUUCAAUUAAACUUACGGACUUCAAAUGUUCCAUUGGCUCCAAAAUCUCUGGAAAGUUUUCAAAUUUAUAGCACCCAUCGAGAUCGAGAUUUUUCAACUUACACCUGAUGCUUGGAAGUUUCUUAAGGUCUUUGCAUUUCCUUAAACUCAAGUGAAAAAUAUUUUCGUUAGACCAAACUGAUUCAGGCAACUCCUUUAUACCUGUGUGUUGUAAAUCCAAGUAUUGAAUAUUUCCUGGCAUCUCUGGAAGAUACUUGAGACUGCUGCAGCCUCUAAGAUUAAGAUGAGUAAGCUUGUCAAGAUGUUGAAAAUACAAAGGAAUUUCAACCAAACUUAUACAGCCCCAGAGAUUUAUCUCCACAAUUUUUAGACUCCCAGAGAGAUUUGGAACUUCAGUUAGAUACUUAGAGCCCGACAGAUCGAUAACUUGCAAGUUGACAAGUAUCUGCAACAAAUUAAAUAGAAAUAUAAAGAAUUAAUAUAAUUUCUACACUUGAUUUUAAACAAGAAUUAAAAUAGGCAUAUAAUAUAAUAUAAUAUACCUGCUCUUCUUUCCAAAGCUUCUUAACUUUGCUAUUGGAUAUAUGAAGCUCAACUAGAUUUUCCGGACAAAAAUUUGACGGCAAAGAUUCCAGUGGAUAUCCCCACCAUUUAAGAUAACGAAGAGAAUCGGGAAGGUCUAGAGAAUUGGUGAAUGUGUAGCCACCAUCCACAAUUAGCAUUAUUAGGUUAGACAUCUUUUUGAAGUCUGCACGUUUCAAUGGUCGCUCUUGAAGAUCAUACCAAUAAACCUGCAUGGCUUCAACAUUUGGAGUUUCCUGAGAAUAAGAAGAAAGUUUAAAUGUGAAUAUAAACAUAUUAAAAUGUAACGCACAUUUGGAACAAAGAGCAUUUGCGAUGGUAAUCAUGUACAAGUGUCUUAGUCUAGUCAAAUAUCCAACAUAAUUGUAUCCUCCUCUACUUGUCUAAAUAAACAAACAUUUGUUCAUAUUCCAAACACUUCCUAACACAAUAAAUAUUCAAUCAAAUUCAUCUUUUAACAAUCUCACUUCUUUAUUAUAAAUUAGUUUUACUUUGUUCUGUUAUCAUCUCAAGUUUGUAAUUUUUUUUUUCUUAAAAAAAAAAAAUAUUGAAUGCAUUUGGCUCUUACCGUGUUACUCCUCAAUACACGAAAGACAUCUUCAUCAUUGAACAACCUACUCCGUUUACCAGGAUCUUUAAUACCUUGUUCUUGAACAAAUUUCCUUCCCAUUUCUUGUAGCAAAUCGUGCAUCUCUAUGGUUUCCAUUCCCCCUUCUGAAUCAAUUGAUAUGAGAGACAUCCCAAUGAGAAUUCUAAUUCCCGAUGUCGCAAAGAAUCCACGAACAUCUAACAUUCGUUUUACCUCAACCACAGAGCUCCCUUUAUGAAAACAUGCUAUAUCCAGAAAUAUCUCCCUCUCAUUUUCUCUCAAUCUAUCAUAACUUAUUCUCAACACUUUCUGAAUAUCUUCACUGGGAAAUCGUUUCAAUUUGUUGAAUUCAUCUUCCCAUUCUUCUUUGCUCUUGCAAUUGAAGAACAAGGACCCCAGAACUGUAAGAGCUAAGGGAACGCCUUUGGCAUAAGCCACCGCCUUUUUUGCCAACUCCUUAUAAUCUGUUCUACGAGUACUGUUAUCCUUGAAAGCACGCGAAUAGAAUAGCCGAAGAGCGUCAUCCGAUUUUAAUACCUCAACCUCGUAGAUAUUAUCCUCUUCAACAGUUUUCCCAAGUGUGCCCCUAUCUCUAGUUGUGAUAAUGAUUCUACUUCCAGUGCCAUACUGAAGACGAUCGCCAGCUAAACGUUCCAAUUGCAUUGAAUCACUCACAUCAUCAAGAACAAUGAGGACCUUUGUACGGCUAAGCCUUUCUCGAACAUAAGUUGUUCCUAUGGAUAAACUUUCUUCCUUUAAUAAUUCACUGAGAAGUGUAUUUUGCAACUUUUCUAGCCCAUCCUUUUGUUCUCUCUCCCUAACAUUUCUAAGAAAACAGGAGGCUUCGAAUUUAGAAGAGAGUCUGUGAAAUAAAGUUUCGGCAAGGGUGGUCUUGCCAAUACCACCCAUUCCCCAAAUACCUACUGUGAUGCAAGCGUCCGAUGAAUGAAAGCCUAACAGCGAUUCGACCUGCUCGAUGCGGCUUUCAAGUCCAACAAAGCCCUUUAAAUCGCAGGAUGAUGCGCGACACAAUUUGGUCCAAAUAUCUUCAACAACUUUCUUAACUAAAUCAGCAUCCGUCCUGGCAUAUAAAUGUAGGAAAGUAAUAGUUAGUCUUAAAUAUUUGUACCUUACAAAAUCUUAGCACAAUAAAAUCAUCACAAGUUUAAAGAAAAUUUAUAAUUUUAUACAAGUUAAAAGAAUUGGUUAGUUACCCAUAAUUUUUUGAAUCAAAGCCAGAUAUAUUUGCUGCAUUCGUCAAAGCAUCCCUCCACUUGUGCACCUUGUCGAUACUGUUCUGGAAACGUUGUUCAAGUUGAGCAAAUGCAACCUCAUAACUCCCCCGUUGUUUUCGUACAUCCGAUGGAAGGGUGUCGUAAAAAAUAGGUAUAACCAACUGGCCAUGUUUUUCCUUGCAUUCUAGGAUAUGCACAAGCUCAUCCAAACACCACUUGGAAGAAGCGUAGCCUUUCGAGAAAAUGAUCACUGAAAGCUCUGAUUCCUCGAUUGCUUCGAGAAGGGCGGGUGCGAUUUCAUCUCCUCUCUUAAGCUUGUCAUCAAUAUAAGUUGUGAUUUUUUUCUCAAGUAAGGCAGCGUGGAGGUGGCUGGUGAAAGUACGGCGGGUGUCCUCACCUCUGAAACUAAUAAACACAUCGUACUUUUUUGCAUCAUCAGCAUCAGCAGGAGCAGCAGCGGAUGAAGAAGAAGAAGCGAUAUCCAUAACCUCUAGUUUUCAGAUCCAGCAAAAAGAUGUAGUUGCAGAGAGAUUAACUGUUAAUUAAAGAGAAAUAAUAUUAUGACGUUGCAGGAAUUAAGGAGAAUUUACUUAGAAUUGGCUUUUGAGUACAUGCACAAAGUUUCAAAGAGUGAGAGAUGAACAAAAGUAGAAAAUGGGGCACAUGAUAGGCGCAUAUUUGCUUUAAAAAACUAUACUUUAAAGAAAGAUAUUCAUAUAUUUGCAAUCUUAAUAUGAACAACGUCAUCUCAGCAUGUAAACGAAGACAACUGAUAAAGAUGCAAACAAAACAAAGUGACAUCCGGUGACAGGUCACCGGCGAAGAAAUUAACAGCAGUCAUAACAAAAAUUAAUUAGCAAAUUAAAUGCCAGCAUAACAUAACACCUAAACUUAUUAAUUAAAAAGAAAUGACAGAAAAUACAGAAAAUAGCCUUAAACAGUAUCAAUCGAUAAACACUGACUAACCUCUGACAAGGGCUUGUUUGUUUUCUCCACCUUCAAAAUAAUAUCCAAAACAUUUACUUUCUUGUAUCAUCAGCAUCAGCAAGAGCAGCUACGGAUGAAAAACAAGAAGAAGAAGAAGCCAUAUCCACAACCUCUAGUUUUCAGAUCCAGUAAGUAGUUGCUGCAGAGAGAUUAAUUAUGAAUUAGAAGGAAAGAGAGAUAGAGAGAGAGAGACUGGUUCAGAAUUAAGGAGGAUCCAAUAAAGUGAGAGAGUGAGUGAGAGAGAGAGAGAGAGUAGUUCAGAAUUCAGAAUUCAGAAUUAAUUACGAUCAGAUCUCGUUCCUUCUGCGCGUCGCGUUGCAGACGGUUUUGAUGGUUGACCGACUGAGUUGGAGAGGGAUUGGGGUUGGGACUCGUCGGGUGCUCGAUGAUGGACACGUGGAUGAGGGUGGCGAUCGCGAGGGUGGCGACGGCGGAGGAGAUGGGCUUUUGGGGUUUUGGGUUUUCAAGGGUUUCUGGGUUGACUUUGCCGUAGCCUCUGGGAUGGGGUGGGAUGGAUCAUGGAUGGGAGGGAAGGUGAAGAGAUUGGAGGAGGUAGAGUGGGUCGGGUGAUGAGUUUUCUGGGGUUGAUUGUGUGUGUGUGUUUUAUAUUUGAAAUGAAAAAAAUAUUUUUUUUUUGCUACAUGCGUAAAUGUAACAGUCACGUCAGUAUAAAUAUGGAUCUCAUAUUUACCACGUCAUCACUUAACGAUUUAUUUAACAGAUUGUCUAACAGAUGUAUGAAAUUAAAAUAAAAUGAUAAGUUAAUGUAUAAAAUUGAAAUGUUUUAAAGAUGUUGUAAGAAAUUGAAAUCAAUCUCAAACAUGAGAGGGUAAAUUGUAAUUUACCCAAAAUAAAAACAAGUAAGUUUCAUACAACAAAAUCAUGUCCUUCACUAUUUAAGAUUGUUUAAGAUUUGGAAUUUAGCUUUCUGACACUGUCAGGACGUCGUAAGAGAGCCCACAACUUAGCCUGAAAGUAAUCAAGAAAAACUUGUGUGAAAAUGAAAAACUUGUGUGGAAAUGACUAAUCAUAUCGUUUAUACGAGAGUAACUUCUAUACCAACGUAGCGGUGAUGACAAGUACUUUGAAAAUGUAUUUACUAUGAUUAUUAAAAAGAUUUUUUGUAUCUAUCAGCUGAUCAAAAUGUACCAGCUUGCCACCAAAACCAACCAAUUAGAAACCAGCAGUAUCAGCCGCAGAAGACAAGGAAGAAAAUGUUAAUGAUCCCAGCACAUGUACACCAGGGUUCCGAUGGCGAUGACGACAAUGUUGAAAACUUAAACGAACCCAACCAACUCCAACGCUCUCUCUUAGACUAGAUUUUAGUCCUUAUCAUGGAAUUAAAUAUCGAUAUAUCGUCGAUAAUAUCGUUAUUUUCACAUAGCGAUAUUUUCAACGUUUACAGUUAAUUAUCGUAAUAAUAUCGCGAUAAUAUCGCUAAUAUCGAUAAUAUCGCGAUAUUAGCGAUAUUAUCGCGAUAUUAACCAUAAUAUCGCCGAGGAUCCUCCGUCGUCGUCGCAACGGCAGCCACAAAUGAGCAAUCCACGCUCAGACCCUGAAAAUGAGCAAUCCUCUCUCUACAAUCCACGCUCAGACCUUGAAAAUGAGCAAUCCCUUUCUCCAGAUCCCAAAACCCACUCGGAUUUGAUGGGGGGGGAGAACCGGAGAAGGAUCGAGAGACUGAGGGAGAAGAAGAAGGAUGGAGAGACUGAGGGAGAAGGAUGGACGGAGAGACUGAGGGAGAAGGAUCGAGAUCGAGGCUGAGGGAGAAGGAUGGACGGACGGAGAGACUGAGGGAGAGAAGGAUCGACAUCGAGGCUGAGGGAGAAGGAUGGACGGACAACGGAGAGACUGAGGGAGAGAAGGAUCGAGAUCGAGGCUGAGGGAGAAGGAUGGACGGACGACGGAGAGACUAAGGGAGAGAAGGAGAGACUGCGUGUGUGGUGUGUGGUGUGUGCGUGUGUGGUGUGUGGUGUGUGCGUGUGUGGUGUGUGCGGUCUGCGUGUGUUGCAGAGAAGAGAUGGGGGGCAGAAGAAGAAACAAGGAGACUGUGGGAGAAGGAUCGAGAGAGCCCUGCACGAAUCCCUCUACGUUUCUAAAAGAUAAUUAAAUAUGAGGAAAUUGUGAGAUCUGACAUGUGGCUAGAAAUGCCGUGUGAAAGUUUCCAUAUUGCACAUGUAUAUAUUAUUGUCAGUUUUUCUCUUAUUUUUCAAAUUGUUUGUUCCACAUUUGUUAAUUUCAUUAUAUAUAAAUGAUUUUGGUGUGUUUAAAUUUUUUUCAUUAAUUACUACAUAUUUUCUACAUUCACAAUGUUUGCCAGCUCGCUAUAUUAUCAACUUAAAUCAAUUAAAUUCAUCAUACAAUGCAUUUCCUUCCAAUUUUUUGUGAUAAACUAAUAGAUAAUUGACUAAAUAAACAUCCUGCAAAGUUUCAAUAAAAAUUUCCAAGUUUUUCUUACAAUUUCCGUGGUUUCCAUGUAAUUUUUAUCGAUAUCGAUAUUAUCCCGAUAUUUCCAUCGAUAUUUCCGUGUUUUCGGACUACCGAUAUUUCCGAUAUUACCGAUAUUUUCUUCAUUGGUCCUUAUUAGACCUACUCUAACUUUCUAAAUAAAACUUAAAUUUUAGGUUCUAAACUUACCUUAACUUGCUCCAACCCUUGGGGCGAAUAUAAGUUAAAACUCAAAACUUAUUUCAGUGCCAAAUUUAACCCAGGAUUUCCUCAUGAUUAGUGGGGCUGGUCCACCAUAUAUGUAUAUAUUUUUUAGUUUAUAUUUAUAAAUUCAUUGAAUUCAACGGUUAAGAUCUAAUUUGAUAAAAUCCAAAGGCUAACGUAAAUUAAAAAGAAAUUCUUUUAUGUGUUUCAUAUUUUUUUUCAUACUAUUUCACAAGUUUCAUGGUGUCGGUUAGUGAUUUUUCAAUAUUUGUCGGAAUCUAAAUAUUUUUAGGUUAAAAUGUUCAUAAAGUUAAAUUAGGAUACUCUACAUAAUUUUUUCUUUUCAAAAAGUUACUUCAAGAAACAAUUAGCUUAAAUUCAUUCUUUAAUAAUAUGGAGCUAAAAUUUUAACCUAGAAGAGUUAGAGCAAAAAAGUUGUUUUUAGGUUAAAAGGUAAAUUUUCUGAACUAAAAAUUUUAGAUUUUAACCCAAAUGUUGAAGAUGGUCUUAGGGGUGGGUAUAUGCACAAAAAGUUUCAAACGUCCAGGGAGGACAAAAGUUGAAAAUUUGGGGAGGCAAGGAUUAGUCACUUUCACAUACUUAAAAAAUAUUUGAUAGUUAAUAAUGCUACUACUUUAAAAUUUUCUUUUAAAUAUGCUUUAAUUAAAAGAAAAAUUGGUCCAAAUACAUUUGGUAAGGCAUCUUUUAAUAAAAUAUACGCACAAAAGACGACCGAGAAAAAAUAACUAGAGAUUAGACAAAAAAAAAAAACAUAAAAAAUAUAAAGACGAAAUUGUUCAAGCACUUUCCUUGCACAAACCAUGUGCGUUCAAAAUGGAAGAAAAUGUUAAUAUAUCUCUAGUUGAGGACUUAAAGAAAGAAAGGUGAAAUUAAGAAUGAAUGCAGCUCCUCCUGAAGCGAGGAAGUUUCCCAGUGCUAGGGGAGGACAGAGUCAGCCGGUUCCUUCCACUCUAUCUCUAUCCAACGAUGAAAAGUAUACUGUAUACAUGAUUUUUUUAAAUGAGUUUUAACGAAACACUUUUGGUAUUGUUCACUUUUAAUGAAAAAUGACAUUUUACCUUUCUUGUUACUAUUCACUUACACAUUUAUUUGUUAUUUUUCAUUAAAACUAAAAGUUUAUGAAGACUUUUCGUUAGUUUUCUUUUUUUUUAAAGCGGAUCACAUACACUAUUUUAAAGCAAGCUAUUUCUCAUUAAUUGACGUAUUUACACGUUUUAUGUACAAAUUUUUUAACAUUUCUAGUUAGUGACCAAUUUCUUUCAAGAAAUUUCCGACUACUUUCAAUCAAGUACCUUUUUAUAAUUCCUAAAAAAUUAAAACAAGUCAGUUUCACACUACAAAAUCAUGUCCUUCACUAUUGGAGAUUGCUUAAGAUUUGGAAUCUAUUUUUCGAAGGCUAUUAGAAGGUCAUAAGAGAGCCCAAAGCUCAGCGUGAAAGCAAGCGAGAAAAAUUUGUGUGGAGGUGGCUAAUCAUGUUAUUUAUACGAGAAUAAUUUUAAUACCAAUAUAGCGGUGAUGACACGUACUUUAAAAUGUAUUUACUAUCAUUAUUAAAAAGAUUUUUUGCGUUUCUUAUAAAUAUAUGUAUAUAGGAAAGUAUAGGUUUAGCAUGAGACUUCCACGUGAGGUGCUUGUAAAUAGUUAGUCAUGCGGUUUGUAUCUAUCAGCUGAUCAAAAUUUACCAGCUUGCCACCCAAACCAACCAAUUAGAAACCAGCAGAAUAAGCCGCAGAAGACGAAGAAGAAAAUGUUAAUGAUCAGCAGCACAUGUACCACAGAGUCCAAUUCAUAGGGAUUGGCAAAAUACCAUGAAUUUGGGUAACCGCGGUUAUGGAUAUGGUUAAUCAUUUAUAAACAAUUAUGAGUAUAGAUAUAACUGUUUAUGCAAUUACCUAAUGGGUAAACGAUUAUACGGGUAUGAACAUAAAUGGUUAUAGGUAAAUAACCUAGCUUACCCGUCCGUCAUAACCGUUGCCUAUCUCUAAUUACGAUCGCGAUGAUGAUGAUGUUAAAAACUUGAAUGAACCCAAUCAACUCCAUCUCUCUGUCUUAGAUCAGGUAGCAGAAGGAGAAUCUUAACUACAAUUGCACCUAAGACUAGAUCAGAGUUUAGUCCUUAUUAGUGGGAGGUAUAUGCACAAAGUUUCAAACGUCCAGGGAGGACAAAAAUUGAAAAUUUGGAGAAACAAGGAUUAGUCACUUUCACAUACUUAAAAAAUAUUUGAUAAUUAAUAAUGCUACUCUUUAAAAUUUUCUUUUAAAUAUUCCUAAUUAAAAGAAAAAUUUGUCCACAGCAAUUUUUAUAAGGUAUCUUUCAAUAAAAUAUACUCACAAACCACGAUCCAGAAAAAUCACUAAAGAUUAGACCAAAAAAAAAACAUAAAAAAUAUAAAGACGAGAUUGCUCAAGCACUUUCCUUGCAGAAACCAUGUGCGUUCAGACGGAAGAAAAUGUUAUAAUAUAUGAUAUCUAGUUGAGGACUUAAAGAAAGAAAGGUGAAAUUAAGAAUGAAUGAAUGGAUGCAGCUCCUCCUCAUGCGUGGAAGUUUCCUGGUGCUAGUGGAGGACAGAGUCAGCCGACUCCUUCCACUCUACACAACAAAGCAAAGUAUAUUUUAUUUUUUAAAGCGGAUUACAUACACACCUUAAAAUCUUUCAAAAUUUUCAACGCAAAUUUAUAUUCAACAAUGUAUGUCAUACAUUGAUGUAUCUCAUAAUUUUUCCAAAUUAGCCAAUAUUCAACUUAGUGAAUAUGCAAUAAUCAAUUUCAAUGGUCAUAUUCUGGCAAGAGAAAAUUUUAUACAUAUAUUAUUAUCAAAAAGAGAAGGGACACAAUUAACAAUGCAUAGGACUCAUCUCUUAAAUUCUUUGGCGCACAUCUAUAUACAAUUGUUAAAUUCAACAAUGUGUCUCAUACAUUGAUGCACCUCAUAAUUUUAAUGAUCUACAACACAUUUGCAAGAGAGAAAUGAUACGCUCCAUCAAUCUAUCUCUGUUUAUGUCAAUACACUAACAAUGGACUUGUAGCUUGUAAGUAUAAAAAAAGAAAGGAAAAUACCCCAAAAUGAGACAAUUUCUUAAUAUUGGGACACAAAUAGGACAAACCGGUCAUGAACAAGUCAUGCACAAAACAGAAAUUACUAAAUACCCACAUGUAAAUACUAAAAAUCAUCAGCCCAUUGCAUCGUUGUUCUCAUUUGGAAGAGAUGGAUGUCGAGAGAGCUCUGUGAGCUCUGGAUUUCUGGAUUGAGCUUAGAUCAUGCGCUCCGAUUUCGAAAAGAGGGAAGUCCAAAGAGAGGCGAGAAGAGUGAGCUAGGUUUUGGGUUGACCUUAUACCUCUGAUUUCAAACAAAGGGAUGCAAGAGAGAGGUGAGAAAAGUGUGCUAGGUUUUGUAUCAUAUUUUCAGUUGUGGCCGGAAAGUUCCAUUUUUCUCGAUGACUAAAACUUCGGCAAGCAUAGUAAGGUAUGGGAUAAAUGGGUUGUUUGUAGGAUGAACUAAUACUUAGAAGUUAAAUUGUGGUUUAUAUUUCAUGUUAGGGCAUAUGGGUUGUAGAAUAAAUUUCAAGUUUUGACGUGCUACAAAACUGGGAUGGAACAAUUUAUCGUUCAAGUGUUCAAUUGUAGAAAUUUGUGAAAAUUUUUCCGUAAUGUGCAUGCGGUGUGCAUGGAUACAUCUUCAUAUAAGAAGCGGAAAUGUUCACUAGUUAUGAUGCACGUAUGUUGUGCCCCCGGAAUUUAGUGAGUAUGACCACCACCUAGUUGGUCUCGGCGUAAAACAAAAUUAAGAAAAAGUUUAGAGGAUGUUAAGGGUCAUGUGUGUCCAUGAAAUAACGACAACGAGUAUCAUGUUUUCCACGUGCACGGUUAAACGGUGGUUGAUAUACGUAACAAGACUUUUCAAGCUGUCACUGUAACCUUAUAUACGUAACAAUUAUGUUUUAAUUGUAUCCACUACACCAAUCUAUUGCCGUUAAAGUUUCUCCCGUUUUGUGCAUAUCCAGUGCAUGUACUGUACAUAUUAUGUGCAUGUGGUGUGCAUAUAGUGUAUAUGAUGCGUAUUUACAUCUUUGAUACUCUUCACAUUAACAUAGUUUACCACUUUUUCUUUUGAUUCAGAGGCAAGCCCUGCAAGUCCGAAAAAAGCGAACGAAUUCGUGAAAAAAAUUCCUUUGAUUAAGUUGGGUUCUUGCAUGCCCAUUCAAACUGCAAUUCUUUGUACUUUGAUAGCUCACUUGUCCGUCCAAGAAAUAAGACUGACAAAUAGGCAAGGCUUUUAUUAUUUUAGUAUUGUUUAUACAUUAUAAAGUACAAGUUAUGGACAAGUAUGUCAUAUCCUACAUGUUAUUUUUAACACUUGAUUUACAAGUCCAGCGGCAUCUUGAAAUCCGCCUCUAUAUCAUAAACCUAGACAUGAAUUAAUACCCCAUGCCCAGGGCAAAGUAAAAAUCUCACAACCAAGCGCCAUAGUCUCACAACCAAGCGCCAUAGUUUGAACAUUCGACACUACAAAAAUACACGAUAGUUCGAUGGCUGAACUGGAAUGGGCGAAAAAUAUGAAUGGCCCGUUUGGACUAACACCGGCUAAACUCAGUGUUCUUGUUUGAACCAUACAAAGAUCAGCAAAACAAAUUUUAUUAGAGCAGGUUAAAAAUUACAGCAAAUUAAGGCCGAAAAACAAAAGGCACAGCCCCAGUUUAAUAAUACAAUCAUCAAAUUUGUAACAACGAGAAAACUAUAGGGGUCUUUGCUUCAAUAGGACUAGGACCAUUCAAAAGUUAAGGGGAAAAAUUAUACGUUGUGUAACAAGCUAAAAGAAAAAAAAAUGAAGAAAAAGCGAGAUGCAUACACAAAGAAAUGAAAUACAAAAUUUCCAAGUACCUUUUUAUUAGCUUCGGUUGCUUCUUUGAACUUUGAGUUCAGUGAGUUAACCUCCUCUGUACUCAGUUGCCGCAUUUCCUCAUCAUGAGAAGGAGCAAUUGGCAUCGGCUGCCUUGAAAGCCUUUUAAAGUGAAAAAUAAGAAACUAUUCUCCAUCAUAGAAAGACAUGGUUUCAAAAAAUAAAAAGUGAUUUGAUUUAUGGAUGAAUACCAGAUGCAGGUCUCCGGGCUACAUUGCCAGCAUUGGAGAAAUUAUUUGCAAGUUGAAAAAUAUUGGAUACAUCAAACAUAACAUUGAUUGGUAGCACUGCUGGAAGAGGGCGUCCCUCCCUAAACCACUCUGAGUAGCUGUUGGAGCAGAAUUAAACUGAGAUUGUAUUUGUGGUCCCCUAAACCCAAGUUUGGGCAGGACGUCGAAGUGACAGCACCACCCUGAGCGGCAUUUGCUGCUCCAGCAGAAUUAUACUGAGGUGGUACUUGCAGUCCCCUGAACCCAAGAUUUCGCAAGGAUGUCAGAGUGACAGCACCACCUUGAAAGUCAAGUGCUGCUGCAGCAGCAGCAGCAGAACUGAACUAAGGCGCAGGAGUCGCUGCAAGAUAUAUCUUAGGUGCAGGUAUUUUAGCCGCAGCCAAGCCAUAUAAGGCUGCCUUCACCAUUUCUGGCGUAAGUUCUCUCUUACUUUGUGCCACAGUGACAAUUCUAAGGGCAUUGUAAAACUCUGCCCGACCAAGGAACCAGUCCGCCUCUGGUCUGCACGUGCCCAUAUCUGCCAAUAAAUAUAAGCAACUAAUAUAAAUUAGAACAGAUCCAAACUUCUGUUACAAAAAGAUAAUGAGAAAGUGCACUCAUAUAGUCAAUAUUUAACAUAUUAUGCCCCCGGUUAUCAUUUUAUGAGAAAAUUUCUUCUGCAAAACAAAUAUACAACUUCAAGAACCUAUUUAUCGAUAUGAUCAUGACCCAAGAACAUUUCCCUUGUAUGUUACAAUCCUAACUAUUCCGUAGUCAUAUAACACAUUUCUAAAGUCUGCUUACCACCUAAGGUCGAAAGGAUACACCAGAAAGUAAAUUAAUGACCGGAUAACAUAACUGUUGUAUAAAUCCUUCAUCUACUUAUUUUCUACCAUUCGAACAUCAAUUCCGCAUUUGUACUAACACGAAAUAAAAAUCUCAGUUUAAAUCAGAGAAUUACAACAUCCCGAGCUCCACAUUAACCACUUCAACUACAAUUAGAUUAAAAAUUCAAAAUCAAUCUGAUUUGGAACACAUUUCCACCAACAUAAAAUCCCGAUCAACCACUAUAAUUACACAAAUAUAAUCAUACACACUACAUAUAUAAAUAUAUAUGCACAAGCAUAUACAUAUAUAGAGAGUGAGAGUACCUGCGCAAGGACCUGUUUGGGGAGACCGGAGCCCUGGAAGAAAGCGACGGCUUCAUUGCCACUAAUCCGAUCAUCGCCGUCCAAACCAGCUCGUCGGAAAUACGCAUCGAAGAGAUCCACGUUCGCCGAUUGGUUUUGUGCCGACGUAAUCGCCACAGUCGGAUUGCGAUUCGCGGAAGAUCAGACCAUGGAACCAAUCGAGAGCGCCGCGCGCUCGGGCUGCCAUACACGUGAGGAGCGCCGGGAAGAAUCAGAAAACCACGAAUUCGAAGGACCAAGGUUUCGAUGCCUUAGAAAACGACGACG
RNAcentral lists this long non-coding RNA (37169 nucleotides) under Malus domestica (apple). RNAcentral's name for it is "long non-coding RNA (MDOM_LNC003545)". Lineage: Eukaryota; Viridiplantae; Streptophyta; Magnoliopsida; Rosales; Rosaceae. The record is from RNAcentral.